This 505-nucleotide ribosomal RNA is filed under the name uncultured bacterium. RNAcentral's name for it is "partial 16S ribosomal RNA". It matches the Rfam family "Bacterial small subunit ribosomal RNA", at positions 28 to 507 of the family's 1533-position model. The record is from RNAcentral.
GACGAACGCUGGCGGCGUGCCUAAUACAUGCAAGUAGAACGCACAGUUUAUACCGUAGCUUGCUACACCAUAGACUGUGGGUUGCGAACGGGUGAGUAACGCGUAGGUAACCUGCCUGGUAGCGGGGGAUAACUAUUGGAAACGAUAGCUAAUACCGCAUAAUAUUAAUUAUUGCAUGAUAAUUAAUUGAAAGGUGCAAUUGCACCACUACCAGAUGGACCUGCGUUGUAUUAGCUAGUAGGUGAGGUAACGGCUCACCUAGGCGACGAUACAUAGCCGACCUGAGAGGGUGAUCGGCCACACUGGGACUGAGACACGGCCCAGACUCCUACGGGAGGCAGCAGUAGGGAAUCUUCGGCAAUAGACGAAAGUCUGACCGAGCAACGCCGCGUGAGUGAAGAAGGUUUUCGGAUCGUAAAGCUCUGUUGUAAGAGAAGAACGGGUGUGAGAGUGGAAAGUUCACACUGUGACGGUAUCUUACCAGAAAGGGACGGCUAACUACGUG